This 301-nucleotide ribosomal RNA is filed under the name uncultured bacterium. Its description in RNAcentral is "partial 16S ribosomal RNA". It matches the Rfam family "Bacterial small subunit ribosomal RNA", at positions 509 to 807 of the family's 1533-position model. The record is from RNAcentral.
CAGUCGCCACGGUAAAACGUAGGGUGCAAGCGUUAAUCGGAAUUACUGGGCGUAAAGCGUGCGCAGGCGGUUAUAUAAGACAGAUGUGAAAUCCCCGGGCUCAACCUGGGAACUGCAUUUGUGACUGUAUAGCUAGAGUACGGCAGAGGGGGAUGGAAUUCCGCGUGUAGCAGUGAAAUGCGUAGAUAUGCGAAGGAACACCGAUGGCGAAGGCAAUCCCCUGGGCCUGUACUGACGCUCAUGCACGAAAGCGUGGGGAGCAAACAGGAUUAGAGACCCCCGUAGUCCCUGUCUCUUAUAC